GAUGAAGAACGCAGCGAAAUGCGAUAAGUAAUGUGAAUUGCAGAAUUCAGUGAAUCAUCGAAUCUUUGAACGCACAUUGCGCCCGCCAGUAUUCUGGCGGGCAUGCCUGUUCGAGCGUCAUUACAACCCUCAGGCCCCCGGGCCUGGCGUUGGGGAUCGGCGGAGCCCCCCGUGGGCACACGCCGUCCCCCAAAUACAGUGGCGGUCCCGCCGCAGCUUCCAUCGCGUAGUAGCUAACACCUCGCGACUGGAGAGCGGCGCGGCCACGCCGUAAAACACCCAACUCUUCUGAAGUUGACCUCGAAUCAGGUAGGAAUACCCGCUGAACUAAAGCAUAUCAAUAAGCGGAGGA
RNAcentral lists this unclassified non-coding RNA (352 nucleotides) under soil metagenome. Its description in RNAcentral is "partial contains 5.8S ribosomal RNA, internal transcribed spacer 2, and large subunit ribosomal RNA". The stretch from base 1 to 120 matches the Rfam family "5.8S ribosomal RNA", at positions 35 to 154 of the family's 154-position model. The record is from RNAcentral.